GCAUCCAUAGCUCAGCUGGAUAGAGCGACGGACUUCGAAUCCGUAGGUCGCAGGUUCGAAUCCUGCUGGAUGUA
Molecule: transfer RNA, 74 nt
Filed under: Spirochaetaceae bacterium 4572_59
Lineage: Bacteria; Pseudomonadati; Spirochaetota; Spirochaetia; Spirochaetales; Spirochaetaceae
Also listed under: 1 other name
Description: tRNA-Arg
Rfam family: tRNA
About the family: Transfer RNA (tRNA) molecules are approximately 80 nucleotides in length. Their secondary structure includes four short double-helical elements and three loops (D, anti-codon, and T loops).
Source: RNAcentral